GUAGUCUCGCACAGAUGCAUAUCAAUAAGCGGAGGAAAAGAAACUAACUAGGAUUCCCUCAGUAACGGCGAGUGAAGCGGGAAGAGCUCAAAUUUGAAAUCUUAAAGGGUUCUACCUUGACGAAUUGUAGUUUAAAGAAGUGUUUUCUGUUGGAGUUUUGGUAAAAGUUCUUUGGAAUAGGACAUCAUAGAGGGUGAGAAUCCCGUAUUUGACCAUUAUUUCCAGCUUUGUGAUACACUUUCAAAGAGUCGGAUUGUUUGGGAAUGCAGUCCAAAAUGGGUGGUAAAUUUCAUCUAAAGCUAAAUACUGGCGAGAGACCGAUAGCGAACAAGUACCGUGAGGGAAAGAUGAAAAGAACUUUGAAAAGAGAGUUAAACAGUACGUGAAAUUGUCAAAAGGGAAGCGUUUGACACCAGUGUUGUUUUCUCGAAAAUCAAUUAAAAAAGGCAGGAUUUUGUGUUGUAUUGACUUUAUCAGCUUUCUGCACUCUUUUCUUGUCUUUUUUUAAUGCACUUUUCGUUUAACAAGUCAACAUCAAUUUCUUUUGUUGUAAAAGGGUCAUUGGAAGGUAGCUUUCUUUUCGGAGAAAGUGUUUAUAGCCUUUGGCCUCUGCAAUCGGAGAGAUUGAGGUCUGCAGCGUAGAUCCUUCGGGGUUAGAUACAUUUGUGCUAAGUUAUAGCCUUUUCAUAGACAACUUGUUGACUAUGAUCAGUCAUGUAGCUUACUCGCUUAUGCUAUUUUACCUACGCUUAGGAUGUUGAAGUCAUCGUAUCGCGC
Molecule: ribosomal RNA, 777 nt
Filed under: uncultured Neocallimastigales
Lineage: Eukaryota; Fungi; Neocallimastigomycota; Neocallimastigomycetes; Neocallimastigales
Description: partial large subunit ribosomal RNA
Rfam family: Eukaryotic large subunit ribosomal RNA
Source: RNAcentral